This is a long non-coding RNA of Delphinapterus leucas (beluga whale), 1319 nucleotides long. RefSeq lists it as uncharacterized. The record is from RefSeq and is a predicted model, not a curated record. Lineage: Eukaryota; Metazoa; Chordata; Mammalia; Artiodactyla; Monodontidae.
UCUCAACCACUGCGCCACCAGGGAAGGCCUAAUCUGCCAUUAUUACUUCUGAAAAUUAGAUGUUGUUGCCACUGACAACAAAGGAUUUAAGUCAUUUGCUCCCAAUUCAAAGUCAAGAGUUUAGGUAUUGACAGAUCAAGGACACCUAUGUAGCAAUGCCUGGCUGCAAGGGAAGUGGUGAAAGUGAAUAUUUGGUAUUUGGGGCUCCUAUGGUAUCAAGUAGGCUUUGCCUCCUACCAGUUCCCAUACGGUGAAUAUUAGCCAAGUGUAGAAAAAUCAUCGUAUUUUUUCUGAAAAUCGGGACCUAUGGUCACUUUGAAAUGAGUCUAGACACAACCCCUCUUUUAGUAUCUUGAUGAAUUAUUCCUGAAGAAAAGAGAAGUUACAAGAGAAUGACAGAGGGUAAGUUCUUUUUUCUUUUGAGGAGGUAUGAAAUAUAGGCUGAGGUUAGGGUUAGAUGCCCAAAGACCUAAGUGUUCUGUAAUCUUGCAAGGGUCCCUUCAUCUACCUAGGGUUCAGGCAGUUCAUACAUAAAGUGAGAGAAUUGAGCAAAAUAAUCUCUAACUUCUCUGUGUGCACUAAGAAAUAAUAUAUCAUUCUUUUUCUCCAGGGGAAGUAUAAAGUUGAGUCAAAGGCUGAAAUGGAAAUAAAGCUAGAAGUUCUCUCAAACAACAAGUACUGAAGAUGCAUUUUUCUUUUUACAGCCAAUUUUCCAUCUCAUGUGGUUUUAAAAAUAAUGUAACUGUACUAUAUAUCAGUGAAAAAGAAUAAAAUAUCACUGCACACAUCAAAUUGGAUGCAUCUCAGAAAAUAACAUUGAGUGAAAAAGAUCAAGUUGCAGAAGAAUUCAGACAGUGAUUCCAUUUAUAUCAACUCAGAACAUUUGCGACUAAACUACCCACUGUUUGAGAAUAUCAACAUAUGUGCCAAAACAAGACUUUCAUGUUUAAGUAAAUAGAUAUUUCACAAGAAACAUGAAACAGAACCUUGUGCUUUGGGAGUUCUUCAUAUAAAAACAAAACAGCAUCAACAACACAAGGUACUGCUUUGCGAGAACUGUUUUGCAAAAGAACACCAGGCUGUGUGAAUGUUGAAUCUGGAUUUCUUGGCCGCACUGUUGGACCCGGGAGGCUACUGCUAGUAGAUGGGUGACUUUUCAGGCUUUAGAAAAUGCUUAAUAAGUCAUUAGACCCUUACUGCAGUUGGCGAGGCUUCUCAGCUCAUAGACGAUAAAACGUCUAGUGAGGGAGGGAAAACAACAAAACAACAGUGAGGUCUAAGAUUUUAUUUAUAUUUUCUUAAGAUUUCUUUUUUUUGAU